UUAACUCUGAGAUGUUCGCCAGCGGGUCUAUUCCCCUGCCGAUACUUAAACUUAUGGAUUGCGUUCUGUAUAUUUAGAGUGUAUGCCCACCUUCGAGUGGGAAACCCAGCAAGUAUACGUCGCGUCCACCUUGAACUCAUCGGGUUCAGGGUAACGACACAUGCAGCGGCAUCAUCGGAGUACUU
Molecule: non-coding RNA, 185 nt
Organism: Acinetobacter tandoii
Lineage: Bacteria; Pseudomonadati; Pseudomonadota; Gammaproteobacteria; Moraxellales; Moraxellaceae
Source: Rfam